GAGUUUGAUCAUGGCUCAGAUUGAACGCUGGCGGCAUGCCUUACACAUGCAAGUCGAACGGCAGCACGGGAGCUCGCUCCUGGUGGCGAGUGGCGAACGGGUGAGUAAUGCAUCGGAACGUAUCCUGGAGUGGGGGAUAACGUAGCGAAAGUUACGCUAAUACCGCAUAUUCUGUGAGCAGGAAAGCGGGGGACCUUCGGGCCUCGCGCUCUUGGAGCGGCCGAUGUCGGAUUAGCUAGUUGGUGAGGUAAAGGCUCACCAAGGCGACGAUCCGUAGCAGGUCUGAGAGGAUGAUCUGCCACACUGGAACUGAGACACGGUCCAGACUCCUACGGGAGGCAGCAGUGGGGAAUUUUGGACAAUGGGGGCAACCCUGAUCCAGCCAUGCCGCGUGAGUGAAGAAGGCCU
This 408-nucleotide ribosomal RNA is filed under the name bacterium enrichment culture clone ALO1_GLFRUDD03FYL66. RNAcentral describes it as "bacterial SSU rRNA". It matches the Rfam family "Bacterial small subunit ribosomal RNA", at positions 9 to 417 of the family's 1533-position model. The record is from RNAcentral.